RNAcentral lists this long non-coding RNA (741 nucleotides) under Homo sapiens (human). RNAcentral describes it as "HSALNT0333733". The record is from RNAcentral. Lineage: Eukaryota; Metazoa; Chordata; Mammalia; Primates; Hominidae.
GACAUCCCGCUCUGGUCAUUUUCCAUAGAGUGGAAAGUUUGUUAUUUCCGUUUUUGCAAUAAAUUUUAUUGCUAUUUGUUCUUUGGGUCCACACUACUUUUAUGAGGUGUAACACUCACCGCAGGGGUAUGCAGUUUCACUCCUGACGCUAGCGAGAGCACGAACCCCCCGGGAGGAACAAACAACUCCAGAGGCGCCGCAUUUAAGAACUGUAACACUCCCCGUGAGGGUCUGCGGCCUCAUUCUUUAAAUCAAUGAGACCAAGAACCCACCAAUUGUGAACACAGAACAAUGUUGAAAUUCUAAGUUUCCAUAAACUUUCUGUUUAUAUAAGCGAUUCCAAACUUCUACACUUUUGGAACAUAGACUAAUAUUCUUUGGAAUCUUCAGCUCUAGACGGGCCACUUCCUCAACAUUUGCAGUUGGAUAAACUCUUUUUUUUUUUUUUUUUUUUUUUUAAAUUUAUUUUUUUAUUGAUAAUUCUUGGGUGUUUCUCACAGAGGGGGAUUUGGCAGGGUCAUGGGACAAUAGUGGAGGGAAGGUCAGCAGAUAAACAAGUGAACAAAGGUCUCUGGUUUUCCUAGGCAGAGGACCCUGCGGCCUUCCGCAGUGUUUGUGUCCCUGAUUACUUGAGAUUAGGGAUUGGUGAUGACUCCCAACGAGCACCCUGCCUUCAAGCAUCUGUUUAACAAAGCACAUCUUGCACCGCCCUUAAUCCAUUUAACCCUGAGUGGACACAGC